CCUACGGGUGGUAGCAGUGGGGGAUAUUGCACAAUGGGGGGAACCCUGAUGCAGCGACGCCGCGUGGGUGAAGGAGCGUUUCGGCGCGUAAAGCUCUAUCGGCAGGGAAGAAGAUGACGGUACCUGACCAAGAAGCCCCGGCUAACUACGUGCCAGCAGCCGCGGUAAUACGUAGGGGGCAAGCGUUAUCCGGAUUUACUGGGUGUAAAGGGGGCGUAGACGGCAGCGCAAGGCGGGAGUGAAAGGCCGGGGCUGAACCCCGGGACUGCUCUGGAAACUGGAUGGCUGGAGUGCAGGAGAGGCAGGCGGAAUUCCUAGUGUAGCGGUGAAAUGCGUAGAUAUUAGGAGGAACACCAGUGGCGAAGGCGGCCUGCUGGACUGUGACUGACGUUGAGGCCCGAAGGCGUGGGGAGCAAACAGGAUUAGAUACCCGGGUAGUC
RNAcentral lists this ribosomal RNA (440 nucleotides) under uncultured bacterium. RNAcentral's name for it is "partial 16S ribosomal RNA". It matches the Rfam family "Bacterial small subunit ribosomal RNA", at positions 338 to 795 of the family's 1533-position model. The record is from RNAcentral.